CUGAGCGAAAAGGGGGAAGGUUUCCGUCUUUUGCAAGGGAUGUUUUUUUUACCUGGCCGGAAGAAAAACGGACCUGUGGGACGGUGGUUUCCUUUCUCUUUUUUUACCCGAGUAAUGAUUGGCUUGGAGGCAUGGUUGGCACAGGUCUGUCCUGUGUUUACCCGAAAGGGGUAACCUGACAAAGGAUUACAGUUGUAUAAGGCAUUCCUGGUUGCGUUGACUGCAAAAAUCACAUCCUCUGAUUAAAUGGAGUUUACUCCGAAGUGAGCGGACGGAGGAUUGUAUCUGAUGGGGCACAAUGGCUUUUUCUGUAGCCUCUUAGUCUUCCCAGUGGAAAGGGGAUUUGCCAGGACUGACAAGACUGGCCUGGAGUCACCUGGUGAGCUUCAGGGACUGAGGCUUGACUUGGGCCUGAGUCUCCCUAGUUCCUAACCAAUGCCAUGGUGAAUCAGCUGUUACCUCUUUUCAAACCAACAGAAGCCCUACCGAGAAGCUUCCUAGGAUAAAGCACCAAUUAGAAAUUCCUUUGGAGGGAGAACUCAAAGGCUGCUUUUCCUCACACAGAAAAAUGCACGGAACAAGAAAAAGCUGGAUUGUCACCAAAGGAGGCAAAAUGUCUGCUGUAAAUAAACUAAGAGCCUUAUUACUAAAUCUGUAUUUUAGUAACUGGACCCUGAAACAAAAAGAUGGAAAUACAGUUUUGUUUCCUUGUAAAAUGAAAUAAAGAUGUUUUGUUUGUGGGCAACAAA
Long non-coding RNA from Pantherophis guttatus, 749 nucleotides. RefSeq lists it as uncharacterized. The record is from RefSeq and is a predicted model, not a curated record. Lineage: Eukaryota; Metazoa; Chordata; Lepidosauria; Squamata; Colubridae.